AUCAGUGGAAAAACUACCAAAGGUCCAGACACUUGGUGGUUUUAUUUUGAGAGUCAAAACGUAAUAAUAAUCCAACUUGGUCAUGUGUCCAUAAUGUC
This is a long non-coding RNA of Salarias fasciatus (jewelled blenny), 98 nucleotides long. RefSeq lists it as uncharacterized. Lineage: Eukaryota; Metazoa; Chordata; Actinopteri; Blenniiformes; Blenniidae. The transcript has 4 exons. The record is from RefSeq and is a predicted model, not a curated record.